This is a long non-coding RNA of Ceratitis capitata (Mediterranean fruit fly), 596 nucleotides long. RefSeq lists it as uncharacterized. The record is from RefSeq and is a predicted model, not a curated record. Lineage: Eukaryota; Metazoa; Arthropoda; Insecta; Diptera; Tephritidae. The transcript is spliced from 3 exons.
UUCACACGAUUUCGUACUAGAAUGACAUAAACAUAAGCAAGUUGUUUUGCUUAUUUUUCUCUUCUGAGCACAUAAAAAUUGAAAGAGAGCGUAGUUUGACGGAUUAUGGGUUUCAUUUCAUAUUCUUAUUUAUGAGUAGAACAGCAGUUUUCGGUAUAAAUAAUCAAAGUUAAUUUUAAAUUGCAAGUCAAUGGUGCAACCUGCACUUGGAACUGGAAUGGACGAUGUGAGAAGAAGGCUGCAGAAAAAUAUUCAGCAAAACUUUGUGAGGUCUUCAAACUUUAAGGGAGCCCCGAGUACGAUGGAGCCGAGGAGCUGAGUAUCCACUGGAGGACAAAGAAAAUAUAACCAAAAUCAAAAACUUCUGCAUAAACCAUUAUGCUUAAAAUAUUUUGUGAAUUUUCGAAAAUUAUUUGGAAUGGAGUAAGAGGCCAUAUGUAGAAGUUCAAGCAAAUAAGAUAUGGUUCAAUCAGCUUACGAGUUCCCGCUAUUAUUUUAAGCAGGUACCUGGAAUUUCUGCUCACUUAAUUGGGAAAUAAGAUCAAAAGCUGAUAUCACCGCCGUCCAGGGAACACAAAGUUGUGGUUGCAUUUGUG